AUAUUGCACAAUGGGGGAAACCCUGAUGCAGCAACGCCGCGUGAGUGAAGAAGUAUUUCGGUAUGUAAAGCUCUAUCAGCAGGGAAGAAGAAAGACGGUACCUGACGAAGAAGCCCCGGCUAACUACGUGCCAACGGCCGCGGUAAUACGUAGGGGGCAAGCGUUAUCCGGAUUUACUGGGGGGAAAGGGAGCGUAGGUGGCAGGGCAAGUCAGAUGUGAAAACCCGGGGCUCAACCCCGGGAGUGCAUUUGAAACUGUCCAGCUGGAGUGCAGGAGAGGUAAGCGGAAUUCCUAGUGUAGCGGUGAAAUGCAUAGAUAUUAGGAGGAACACCAGUGGCGAAGGCGGCUUGCUGGACUGUAACUGACACUGAGGCUCGAAAGCGUGGGGAGCAAACAGG
This 399-nucleotide ribosomal RNA is filed under the name uncultured bacterium. Its description in RNAcentral is "bacterial SSU rRNA". It matches the Rfam family "Bacterial small subunit ribosomal RNA", at positions 361 to 776 of the family's 1533-position model. The record is from RNAcentral.